UUAGACGGGCCUGCGCGGCCGCCGUAGUCUCAGACUACUCUGCGCCGGAAGCCCAGCCACCCUGCUUCCUGGUUCUUGCGCAUCUUUAGUUCCCUCGCUACCCCGACCCUGACUUCGUGCUUGCAGCUGCCGAAGUCUUUCUAGACUAGUUGGUCCCAUCUCGCGUCCUCCUGAUUCGGCCCUGACCCUGCCUGUAACUCAGCAGAGGACCGCGGAUCUCAUUUCCGCCACCACGAUGUACUUCCGGGAUCUCCGGAAGCGGCCCGUUGCCACGGCGACUGUGUACACAGCCCGGCAGCGGCGCGUGCCGGUUUUGGGUCUCUGCUCACGCAGCGGUCGCGCUGCUGGAGGGCUCCUGCCUCCCGAGCGUAGUGACUGAAGAUGGACCUACAUGUGGAGAUUCAGCCACCCUCUGACUUCCAGCCAUGACCAUGACCAUCACCACCAAUCACCAUUUUCUUGAGCACCUGCCCUGUGCUGGGCAUUGUUCUGGACUUUGAGGGGGGAUUCAAAAGAGAUAAAAGGCACAGUCCUGCCCCUUAAGCUGCUUAUAAUUUAAUUUGGGAGCUGAAACCCACUCAUAUGAUGCGGCGUAAGAACGGUGACAAGCGUUAUUUCAGUAAGUGCAAGAUGGCAUGGGGUCCCCAAAUGUCUGGGUGUUGAGGGACCACUGGGUAGGGAACUCACAGGAGGGAUGCAGUUAACAGAGAGGGCUUGCCUUAGGUGGAUAUGGCUCGUGGCACAGGUGGAGCCAUGGGUGUAAGCAUGGGGAGGGCCUUGGGAAGCACAGGUAGGAUGAUUGCAUGUGCAUGUGCAUGUUGGCAAAGUGCUGGGCAGAAAAGGGACAGGCUCUGAGGGGAGGGCUUUUCUUGGAACUGGCCUGUGCUGACCUUGGGCUGUCAGUGGGUAGGGGCCGCUGGGAGGGAGGCUUGGACAUCCGCCCCUAGAGCUGCCCUUCAUGGUCCCUGGGCAGCAUCUUAGCUUUCCUGGGCAGCAGGAUGAGCCCUCGGACUGGUUUGGGGAAUGGUUCCCAGAGCUUUAGAGAUGGAGUGUAAAUGUUUGCUUGAGUCCAAACACACCUCCCCCCUACUCUCCAUUUUCCAAUAGCCUAGAUCAAAGUGAUCUUGAAGAUGAGAUACUCUCUUCAGUUUCCUCAGUUGGGGAGUCAUGUUAGAGCUAUAUGUGACUUUGUAUUUCUAGAGCUCAAUUCUGCAAACAAAAACUUUAGAACUGAAAUUGGACAAGCC
Molecule: long non-coding RNA, 1247 nt
Filed under: Camelus dromedarius (Arabian camel)
Lineage: Eukaryota; Metazoa; Chordata; Mammalia; Artiodactyla; Camelidae
Description: lncRNA (ENSCDRG00005008340.1)
Source: RNAcentral